Molecule: ribosomal RNA, 478 nt
Filed under: uncultured Ascomycota
Lineage: Eukaryota; Fungi; Ascomycota
Description: SSU rRNA
Rfam family: Eukaryotic small subunit ribosomal RNA
Source: RNAcentral
AAGCUCGUAGUUGAAACUUGGGCCUGGCUGGCAGGUCCGCCUCACCGCGUGUACUUGUCCGGCCGGGUCUUCCUUCUGGAGAACCUCAUGCCCUUCACUGGGCGUGUUGGGGACCAGGACUUUUACUUUGAAAAAAUUAGAGUGUUCAAAGCAGGCCUUUGCUCGAAUACGUUAGCAUGGAAUAAUAGAAUAGGACGUGCGGUCCUAUUUUGUUGGUUUCUAGGACCGCCGUAAUGAUUAAUAGGGACAGUCGGGGGCAUCAGUAUUCAAUUGUCAGAGGUGAAAUUCUUGGAUUUAUUGAAGACUAACUACUGCGAAAGCAUUUGCCAAGGAUGUUUUCAUUAAUCAGUGAACGAAAGUUAGGGGAUCGAAGACGAUCAGAUACCGUCGUAGUCUUAACCGUAAACUAUGCCGACUAGGGAUCGGGCGAUGUUCUUUUUCUGACUCGCUCGGCACCUUACGAGAAAUCAAAGUUUUU